UACGAGCGGCCCAAACGUUAUUCGGAUUUACUGGGCUUAAAGAGUUCGUAGGCGGCGCAGAAAGUAGGGUGUGAAAGCCCUCGGCCUAACCGAGGAAUUGCGCUCUAAACUACUGUGCUUGAGGAAUCUAGAGGUGAGCGGAACUGAUGGUGGAGCGGUGAAAUGCGUUGAUAUCAUCAGGAACACCGGAGGCGAAGGCGGCUCACUGGGGAUUUUCUGACGCUGAGGAACGAAAGCCAGGGGAGCAAACGGG
Molecule: ribosomal RNA, 253 nt
Filed under: uncultured bacterium
Lineage: Bacteria
Description: partial 16S ribosomal RNA
Rfam family: Bacterial small subunit ribosomal RNA
Source: RNAcentral